This 339-nucleotide long non-coding RNA is filed under the name Olea europaea (common olive). RNAcentral describes it as "long non-coding RNA (OEUR_LNC003213)". Lineage: Eukaryota; Viridiplantae; Streptophyta; Magnoliopsida; Lamiales; Oleaceae. The record is from RNAcentral.
UGAAUAAAUGUUAUUCAAAUAAGUGGCCAGAUUGCCUGCCACAUCAUGGAAUGUCAACAAAACUUUCAACCAAAAUAUAAAGUUAGCAAAACUAUUCUUCCAAAAAGCCCAUUAGCGGCAUUACUGCUCUCCAUUUCUUGUGCGAUCCAAAUGAUUUUAUGCAGGGUUGCCUUUUAAUCAAUGUGUGGUUGUUCAGUGCCCUAUUGUUUCACUUUUAUGGAGAUCUUACAAGUGAACUACUGGUGAGAGGUCUAACGAGUGAACUUCGUUAUAUUAGGAGAGUUAAUCGAUUCAUUCACAAGUAGCAAAGAAAAAAGGGAGGGAAGAGGAAACAGAAAA